Molecule: ribosomal RNA, 853 nt
Filed under: uncultured archaeon
Lineage: Archaea
Description: bacterial SSU rRNA
Rfam family: Archaeal small subunit ribosomal RNA
Source: RNAcentral
GACCCGACUGCUAUUUGGGUGGGAAUAAGCCAUGCGAGUUGAAUGGGAUACCUAAAGNUUCCCAUAGCAAACUGCUCAGUAACACAUGAUCAACUUACCCUAUAGAGAAAAAUAACCUCGGGAAACUGAGGAUAAUGUUUCAUAAUUGAAUUGGCUUGGAAAAGUUUUUCAAUGAAAGGGAUAAAAAAAAUGGUUUUUAUCCGCUAUAGGAUAGGAUCGUGUUCGAUUAUGGUUGUUGGUGAGAUAAUGGCUCACCAAGCCGAUAAUCGAUAGGGGCCGUGAGAGCGGGAGCCCCGAGAAGGGUACUGAGACAACGACCCAGGCCUUACGAGGCGCAGCAGGCGCGGAACCUCCGCAAUACACGAAAGUGUGACGGGGUUACCCAAAGUGUUCAAUAGAACUGUGGUAGGUGAGUAAUGUCCCCUACUAGAAAGGAGAGGGCAAGGCUGGUGCCAGCCGCCGCGGUAAAACCAGCUCUUCAAGUGGUCGGGAUAAUUAUUGGGCUUAAAGUGUCCGUAGCCGGUUUAGUAAGUUCCUGGUAAAAUCGGGUAGCUUAACUAUCUGCACGCUAGGAAUACUGCUAUACUAGAGGGCGGGAGAGGUCUGAGGUACUACAGGGGUAGGGGUGAAAUCUUAUAAUCCUUGUAGGACCACCAGUGGCGAAGGCGUCAGACUGGAACGCGCCUGACGGUGAGGGACGAAAGCCAGGGGAGCGAACCGGAUUAGAUACCCGGGUAGUCCUGGCCGUAAACGAUGCAUACUAGGUGAUGGUACGGCCAUGAGCCGUAUCAGUGCCGUAGGGAAACCGUUAAGUGUGCCGCCUGGGAAGUACGGUCGCAAGGCUAAAACUUAA